RNAcentral lists this long non-coding RNA (501 nucleotides) under Gallus gallus (chicken). Its description in RNAcentral is "long non-coding RNA NONGGAT011960". The record is from RNAcentral. Lineage: Eukaryota; Metazoa; Chordata; Aves; Galliformes; Phasianidae.
AGCAAUUGUAUUAGUUUCACUACUCCUUUUUGUUCAGACUGUGUUGAAAGGAAACUACUCAUGCUCUCAUUUUUGUGGUUGCUGGUUGUAGUACAAAACAGCUCUGCACAGUUUGUGUUGGGGCGAGGGUUCAUUUACAUGUGGGUUGUUUGGUUCUGCCCUGAAAUCUUGUAAAAACCUUAACAUGACUGGGAAUAAGCUCCAGAGGCUGUGAAUCAAUCCAGGACAGCAUCACCCCAGGUCUGUUGAUCAGCAUCUGUGUUAUCCCCACUCCCUCCAGAAAUGUCCUUGAUGGCCUUUUGCUUGCAGCUGAUGCCAGGGAGAUUGAAGAUCACCAGAGGCACCAAUGGCAGUGACUGAAGAACCCCAGCAACACUGUCAUACAACAGAAGCACUCUAGCUCAGAGUUAGCAGUUGAGGGUAUAAGACAGUGCCAAGAGGACCUUCCUCAGGGAUCAGAUGUACUCUCUGAAAAUAAACUGUGCAGAGGAACAGAGAGUG